CUCGGGGGCCUCAGCAACGUUCAGCCAGUUCACAAUUGGCCGUUGUCCCGUCAACUGCUUCCUCCUCCGUUGCAAAUUUAUACGCGCGCACACCAAAAGUGUGUCUUUAGCGAUCGAUUAGUCACAUUGUAUAUGUGGUUUAUAAUACCAUUUGGUCAUCAAUUUCUCACUCGAUCUCUCUUCGGGCAUGGCGAGAAAAUCGUGAAGGUGUGGAGAUUGUUUGGUAUUAACAAUGUGGAGAUAAUAGUGCACGGUUUUGGCAUUUUCCGACACAAUUCCACAUCAAAUUCCCUUCUGUUUUUUUUGCGUGUAUUACAUUUUACAAAAAUAUUCCAUUGUGAUUGGUGGAUGUGUUGCAUCAAUUUUCUCUCUCAGUGAUUUAUUCACGAACAAAAUAAUUUAUAGAUCACAAAAAAAAUUCUCUAAUUCAUUGAUGAAAAUAAAUCUUAAAGUGUUUUAAAGGAAAAGUUUAAACAGAUUAUUGUCUGUUAAAUUUAUUUACAAUAGAUAAAAUAAAUUGUGAUCUUUUUUGUGAAAUAAUUAGAGCUUUGAAAGGAAGCAAAAGAAUAAUAAUUAUAAAUAUUAUAAAAGAUUGUGAAGAAUUCUUUUAUAAAAUAAGUACAGAGAUAAAAUACGUUAUACACACAGAGAUAAUUAAGUGAAAAUUGAGUUUGUGCAUUUGUGCAGCAGCAUUAGAAUUUGCAGCAUGAAAGAAAAUUUAUGAUCCUCCUCAUGUGAAAGUCUCAACAAUUUGGAUAAUUUCCGCAUUAAUGUGGUUAUACCUUUUGAAUAAAAUUGUGAGCAUAAUUAGGAAAUUCAUUGAGUGCACGAAUUGGUGGUGUGCGGAGGUAAAAGAUGAAUUUACACAGAGAUGAAGAAAAAAAUCUCACCCACAGACAAUCUGCGAGCAAGGUGGCAGAAAAGCGUGAAGAUAGUCAGAAAAAAAAUGAUGUCAUCCAUGUUCCAUUGAUGGGAACAUUGGCAACGACAUCAUCAAGGGGCAUGGCAGAUGAGAGUCCAACAAAUGUGAUUGAUUUAAAUAAGAAUAGGAUACGCUACAGACGACGAUGUCCAAAAAUUCUACAGCGUCCUUUUAGCUUGCCAAGUGCAAUUGGUAAUUUCCUCAAACGCCCAUUUGGUGGGGCAACAACCAGUCACGAUGAUGGUGAUGUGAAAGAGGCGGAUGCGCCCACGUCGUCACAGAAGGAAAUCACCAUGGAUAUUGCUCUCAUUAAGAAGCUGGAAGAUGAAAUUUACAAGAGAACCGAGACGCGUGAGGUGCACAAUCAUGCAGAAACUUGCAGACCAUGCCGAAGGAAACAAACACAAGCACCAGGAGAUCGAGAUAUUACCUUCUUAGAUGAUACGAGUACCUUUAGGAGCCCCUAUCAACCACUUUUUCUCAUUGACAAUAAAAAAUUAGCACCAAUUCUCAUGAAGACAGACACAUGCCGCCGUCCAGCGGUAGUGAAAGAGCCACAAUCCAUUAUAAUUGUGGAUAAUUCAAAAUUCUACCCAGUUCUCAUGAAAUAUGAAUUUCUGCAGAAUGAAGAGAAAUCCAGUGAAAGUGGUGUAUUUAUAGCUGAUGGCCCAUUGGGUUUCCCAUCUGGAGGAGACGGUCUCUUUAAAAAUAGAUGCGACAGUUCACAGGAAAAUCCACUGAGAACUAUAAGUGGUACAGACACAAAAUCAUCGCCCAACGAGUUGUGUUGUGGUACAAAGUGUCCAUCAACUCAUCAUCCAUGUGCUCCUUCCACGAAUUGUGGGGAAAAUGGAGCUACUGCAUUGCAUGCAGUACAAUGUCAGAAUAGGAGGUAUAAUUUCAUGGAAGCUGAAGAUGCGUCCCCAAAGGACCGAGUAUCAAAAUUACGGAGAUUUCUCCUGCAGAGGCGUAGUUUAAAUUUAUCACUGAAGAAGACUAAAUGUCUGGCAAACAAUGGAGAACGCAAGAGUAUCAUCAAGCCCAUAAGAGACAGUCCGCAUCAAGCGCAUCAGGCGCAUCAGUGUGCGGCAAGGAGUAUGUUUAGUGAUGCAAAUAUUGAGCUAAACACACUCAAUGUCAUCAGCAAACUACAUAAAAGUUUGCACAUAUUCCACGGAUUGCACGAGGGGGAGAUGAAUUCAAAACAAAGAGGUGAUAAAUUUAAAUUGUCGACACUGAAGCGAAUACUGGGUAUCUACAUGGAUUUCUUUUAUCCACAACAAUGCAAUAUGCGUACAACGGAGUACUUUCAAUAUGGUUCAUCAGAAUUAUGCCAUUUGUCGUCGCGCUCAAAGAGUCUCGACGACAUACACCAUUUAGACGUGCUAAAUAAAUUGUCAGCCACAUCAUCAACGCCAUCAAUUGACCCUAUAAAUCUCAAUGAUGGAAUUAGCAAAUCACCACGCGGAUGGUGGAGUCAAGGAAAUUUGGAGGAAAUUGAGAAAAUACAUCACAAUGUUGCUUUAGUGAUACACCACCACAGAGUACCCGAAAGAUUUUCCAUCAUUGCGGAAAAUGCUGAAAAACCAAUCAAUAAGGAAAAUCAGUUGAUCUGCGAUUCCGGGAGAAAUCAGCAGCAAAAAGGUGGAGUUAAAUUGCGAGCACGAUCAUCAUUUCGACGUCUCAAGAGACACAGCGUGGGUAGUGCUUCAGAUGUUGUGGUCAACACAUGGGUCUAUCGUAGAAGCUAUGACGGUGGCUGGAAUGGUGGGAUAGGUGAGCCCCCAAAUCGGGGGCGAGGCCCUCAAUCACCAAUUAGGCAUUCGUACAGCAAUAAAAGUGAAUCGAGCGUCUGCCACAGGACAUCUAGUGCUGGUGCGGCAGAUUUGAAAAAGUACCAAAGUGGCAACAACGUGGUGGUAGUUGCGGGAAAAUAUAGGAAAAUGGGGGAUUCUGGUGCGCCACGUUCACCCCACUUUAGUCCUGCAAGGAAUGCACAACCCCAGUCAGAUGUUCAGACUCUUCAUGUUCACCUGCCAAAUCAUGGCUUUCGCAUGAUACGUUUCGAUGAGGCGUCCGAUGUGCGAGAGAUCAUCAACAUGAUUGUGGGGUCGAUGACGCCAAGUCAGACAGCCCGGCCGCAGUGCUAUGCACUCCGUUUGCGCCACAUGCUGACCAAAGAGGUACUCUGGAUGCCACCAGAUACAUCGAUGACUGAAGUAAUGGCACACAUUUCCAAUCCCUCGUGCGCAAAUCCCGAUUGUCCCAAUGUCGAUCGGAGUACAAUGGCGAAGAAGCAGCAAAAGACCAAUAAUAUCACGGGGCAUGCAAAUAGUGUGUGGAAAGCCGAACUGAGGGUACGAUAUAUUCCAAAGAAUUUGAAGGAACUCUAUGAGCAAGAUCGCACCACGUGCCACUUUUACUUUGAUCAAGUUAAACAGGAUUACAUACAGUCAAAUAUUCCAAAUAUUGAUCAGGACAUUGCGGUGCAAUUGUGCUGUCUAGGUUUAAGGCAUUACUUCAAAGACACUAAUCAGGUAACAGAUAAGAAACAUCAUGUCGAUUACAUUGAGAAGGAGAAGGGAUUUGGAAAUUUUAUACCAAAAUCUGUGAUAGAUACGAUAAAGCAGAAGAAUUUGAAGAAAUUAAUUCAGAGUGGCUACAAGAAGGUCCACAAUUACACGGAAAUGGAGUAUAUGAUGAAAUUCUUUGAUCUUCUGCGGACUCAGUAUAACUUUGAGCAAGAACAAUUUAUCGUAACACUGGGUUCGGGUUGGAAUAUACCCAUUGACCUUAUAAUUGGGCCCCACGUUGGAAUCUCCUAUUUAGCCCAUUCACAGGCAAAACUCACAAAAGUUGCGGACUUUGAAGACAUUGAGAGAAUAACAACGAGUGUCCUAAUGUCGGGAUCAUCAUCAGGGAGGGAUAUGAAUACCAGUCAAAGUGGUGGAAGUAAUUCCGAUGCAUCAGUUUGUUCACAAAAAUUCCCCAAUAAUGGCACGGGAAGUGUAACAAAUAGUCCUGUACCGAAUAAGAAAAUAUCCUCAUCGGGUUCAGGCGAGAAGAAAGCCUCCAUAUCCAAUUCGUCGUGUAGUUGUGCUGACAUUAAGACUCAACUCAAGAUUAAAGUCACGGAAAAUAUUGAUGAUCUUGCAAUUACAUGCAAUGGGAUUAAGACUGCUGAAAGUAUUGCAGACUUGGUAGAUGGAUACUGCAAGCUUUUUACGGAUUCUGAUGUAUCCUUGUGGGAUCGUUCAGUUCACGCAAAAGGCACUCCGUCGAGCAGUGCGACGAAUUCAUUGGAGAAAAAUAGAAAAUUGGAGACGGAUCAUCAAUCACCGGUGACGACAACACAGGUGGCCAUUGAGAAUGAUGCGCAGAAUGAUUCUCCAGAGAUGCCAAAUAUUCCCGCAAAGAUGAUAAAUUCAGCUGAAGGUGGAAAUUUGCCAACAUUGAGUGAGGAUUACGCGGAAAUUGGUCUUGGUGAAGAGGAGGGAGACUACUCAACUCCUGCUGCUCGAAAUUAUGAGUUGGAUCGGAGUCAAAUAGUUCUCAAUGAAAUCAUUGGUGUGGGGCAAUUUGGAGAUGUUCACAUUGGGACGUGCAAAAUAAAGCCCACGCGACCAACGUCGAAGGGCAAACUAAAAGCAACAACCAAAGAUGAAUCACAAAAUGAGGCGACCUCGAGUGAUGCGGAAAAGGGGUUUGAAAAGAUGGGACUUAUUCAUGUUGCUGUUAAAACAUGCAAAGCCGAUGCUGACUUGAAGACUGCAGAAAAAUUCCUCGAGGAAGCAUAUAUUAUGCAAAAAUUUGAACACCCCCACAUAAUCCGACUCAUUGGGAUAUGCAGUAAUCCACCAAUUUGGAUUGUGAUGGAAUUAGCGAGACUUGGGGAGCUUAGAGCUUAUUUGAAGAAACAUUCAAACAAGCUGAAACUUGGCAGUCUUCUUCUCUACUGCUAUCAACUUUCAACAGCACUCAGUUACUUAGAAUCGAAGAAAUUUGUCCAUCGAGAUAUUGCCGCGAGGAAUGUUCUUGUCAGCUCACCCACUUGUAUCAAGUUGGCCGACUUUGGUCUCUCUCGGUGGGUUGAGGAUCAAUCCUACUAUCAUUCGAGCAAAGGGAUGCUGCCCAUUAAGUGGAUGGCACCGGAAUCAAUAAACUUCAGGCGCUUCACGACGGCUAGUGAUGUGUGGAUGUUUGGUGUUUGCACAUGGGAAAUUCUCAUGUUGGGCGUUAAACCAUUCCAAGGGAUUAAGAAUAGUGAUGUAAUUGGGAAGCUUGAGAAUCGCGAACGACUGCCAUUGCCCAACAAUUGUCCCCCACGGCUCUACUCUCUCAUGUCACAGUGUUGGGCCUAUGAGCCCAGCAAGAGGCCUGACUUUAAGACUAUCAAAGAAACUCUCUAUGAAAUUCUCAUGGAAGAACGUUUGAGUGAUUGUGAGACAAUGAGGCGGGAGAAUAGGAGAGUAGCCGCUAUGUCUUGGGGUGCUGGUGAUGACAAUCCACCCCCAAAACCAGCACGAGCUCCCCUCGUUGAUGCUGGAAGUUUGGGUACGGAGGCACCCCAAAUGGCACCACAGACGUACAUAAUAGCUCAGAAUCCAGCCGUCCUGGCGCAUUUGAUGCGUGAGAAUGAGGCACGGAGCCUCAAUCCAUCAGCUUACACAACACCAGCUUCGGUAUUUAAUACAUUAGCUGUAGAUUUUGAUACGGAGCAUGUUGAUGAGGCAAGUGUUGAGCCGUGUGAUGUGACAUUGAAGACAAUCAAAUUGCCGGCGAGUGAUUUGUUGAAAUUGGAUCCAAUGGUGGGUGAGCGUGUGUCAAGUGGGGCAUGUAUGGUGAAAUCAGGGCGUUCCGAUGAUGCAGAUUUGGUCAAUUCACAAGGUAUUGAGGGUCUCUGUAAUUCCGCCACGUCCUCCAAUAGCAAUACCCUGGAACGGUAUGAUCUACCACAGGAUGCUAUUAGUGACAAUUCCAUUCCACAUCCCCCUGAGUAUCCAAUCCCGUGUGAAAUUAUCAAUGCUCUCACCCAGCAAACACAUUCAAUUGAUCCCAUGUACAAGGCACUGCAGAAACCUCCGGAUGGGCAACAGGUGGCUGAUAAGCCACCACUACAGCCGGUAAUUCAGUACAUUUCUAGUCAGCAGCAACCACCACAGGUUGUACACUAUCCAAAUCACGGAACUCCCACGCAUACAGCAUCCUACAUCCAACCGGCCAAUUACUACGGCGAGCAUCAGCAGUACCUUGUGCAGAGCUUCCCACAGGGUGGAAGUCCCGCUGCUGGGACAUUCGUCUAUCCAGUUCUUAGUCCACAGAUGAUGGCCAUGCCACCGGGACACUAUCCCCAAGCAUAUGCUGUACACUACGGUGCACCCGAUGGGGUGGAAAGUGGUGAAAAAUGUCGGAGUUUCGAGAGGAAUCCUCCAUAUCCAGGUCGUGUGAGCUCCCUCGAACGUACCGUGCCGAAUGUAGCGGCUAAACCAUCGCGUUCAACAUCACUAACACGCCAGCUGAGCGGCAGUCAGGAUGCUUUUGCAGCUGCUCGAUCAGGAAGUCUCGAGCGGAGUGGUCUUCCACCCCAGGGCUACGGUAGUCGCAACAAUAGCCUCGAGAGAAGUCAAAAUGACACCCUUCGCACAACUGGCGGGAGUCUCGAGAGGAAUCAAUCAGCCGGGGCAUACGAUGCUGCCAAAGGGAGGAAUUUACGUGGUGGAAGUUUGGAGAGGAAUCAACAAGUUCUCACAGGGCCACGUGGGGGGAGCCUCGAAAGGAAUCCCGGCUAUGGGACACCGUACAAGAGCCCAAAACAACCCGAUCCGGAACCAUUCCAAGAGGAGAUUUACGAUUUUGGUGGGGCAAAUGUGAAGAGCUGUGCUGCAAUUGCACUGAAGAAGAGUAUAGCUAAAGGUCUCAUUCCGGCAGAGUAUCAGUACAAGAUAAAUUCAACAAUAUCCCCAGCUCCACCGCCAUAUCCUGGAUCACAGCAGCAGCAACAGCCGCAGCAGAAAUUCCAAUAUCCACCACAAGGAAUACAGCAGCGUAUGUGGAAUCAUCAAAUACCUCCCAUGAGUCCCAUUCAGCAGCAGCAGCAGCAGUUUCUUCAUCAAGGUUCUCCGGUAAUGCCCAAUUUGCAUCAACAGCAGCAAAUGCAGCAACAACAUCAAUUUCAACAACAACACCAACUUCCACAACAACAGCACCAACUGCAACAGCAACAGCUGCAAUUGCAUCAGCAAAAUUUGAAUUCUCAGAUUCAACUUCCGGAUGUAUCAGGACAUUUUGAAGCUAAACUGAGGCGACAGCAGAUGGAAAGUGAGGUUGAUUCAAAAUGGCUACACCAGGAAGAAACAAAUCUGAAGAAACGCUUGAGUUUAAUAACAACGGGAUCCGCUGAUGGUGAUACAAAUGGUGGUGCUGGUGCUUUCUCAGGUGCUAAUCGCUUCUCACCGCAAACUUCCGUCUCAUCUGGCCCUCAGAGUCUUCCUGUUGAAACAACAAGUGGUCUCGGGGAUUCUCGUCCACAUACGCCAGGCUCCAAUUCCGGUACUCUCCGCGCAACGGCAUCAUCAUCGUCGUCGUCGCUUGAUAAAUCCGGUGCAGCAGAUGUGCGGAAGACUCUUGCCCUCGAUCGAACCAAUGAUGCCGUCUACAGUGCUACAACGGGCGUCGUUAAGGCAAUAAUGGCGCUGAGUCAGGGCGUUGAACGAUCCGUUGCGGCUGAAUAUUUGGACUUGGUGAAGAAUAUUGGGAUUGAGUUGAGGGUGCUCCUGGGAUCGGUUGAUCAAGUUUCAACACAAUUUCCCGCACAAGCUCACAGGGAAGUGGAAAUGGCCCACAAAGUUCUGUCGAAGGAUAUGUUUGAGCUAGUUUCCUCCAUGCGAUUAGCUCAGCAGUAUAGCGACACAACGUUGGACGUUGAAUACAAAAAGAGUAUGCUUGCUGCUGCCCAUGUCCUGGCGAUGGAUGCAAAAAAUCUGCUGGAUGUUGUGGAUUCAAUUCGUGUUCGAUACCAAAUGUGGUUCACAGACAAGAACCAAAUUUCACCCAAAAAUCCGUCCAAUUCAACUAGUCUCUCUUCACCUGUAUCAAUUGGUGGUGGUGCAACAGCAACAGCUGUCACAGAGGAGACGUACCAGAAUGCAGCAUCUGUUAUGGAGCAACAGAAUAUGUAUUCGAAUCAACAGACGGGCAUUUAUGACAAUGAAUGCGUUAUAAAUCAUCAAUUGAAGCAUUUGGAGUUGGGACGGGAGGCGGCAGCAUGUGGGACACCGUCAAAGCCAGCAAUUGCAGCCAAACCACCCAAUCUCACGUCAAAACUCAAAUCAAAUCUCCUCAUGAAGGGUCUAAGUUCCCAAGGAGGUGGUACGGAAUGCAUUAGUUCCACUGAUGAACCUUUAAAAAUUAUCGAAGAUCCAAGUGAUUUAUACAGCAAUGCAGGCAUUGCAUCUUCUAGCACGAAACUUCCCGACAAUACUCCACACGUCCAAGAAAAUUCACACAAUCAAGUUAAUCACUAAACUUAAACUAAAAAAAAACAAAAGAGUUCCAGUGAAAAAUAAUUCAGUCUACAACUUCUAUAGCGGACCUGAGAGUUCAGUAGUUUGAGCAGUUAUCUCAAUGAGCUACUCCUAACUUCCAAAUCUAUGCGAUAUUUAUUGUUUGGGUGCUCUCAAUGGACAUUUCCAGGUCAAAUUAUGACCCCAUGAAUAUGAAAGGGUUAAUUGCAAUCCUUCCUAAAAAUGUUUUCUGAACAAAAAAAAACCGAUUGUAUACGAAUUUUAAAAGUCUAAUGAUUUGAUUUGAAUGAAAUAUGGAUGUCCCUUUUUCUCAAGUUAAUCUACAUAGCUUUAUUUAAAGUCUAAACUAUAUAUUUUCCUUCUCAUUGUGCUAAUUUAAUCACUAUGAGCGUCUACAAUGCAAGAAUUAUUUGUUUUAUGAGAAGUUAGUAUGAAAAAUACGCAAAGGAGCCUCUUCAAUGGUUUUCAAAAGAUGUUUCAAAAGUCGUAGAUGAAACAUUAACGCAAACGUUUCAUUCAUUCAAAGGGACAAAAAACAUAACUGUAACGUCAUUUAUUUUUAUUUUUGAGUGUUUCCAGUGGAUACCAGUGGAAAAUGUUAAUUGCUUUUUAACGAUUUCUGAUUUUUUUUAUCCUCAACAAAAUUAAUAAUGUCCCCUCGCAUGACGAAUUAUCUCAUAUACAAAAAUGAGUAGACUCCUUUCAUUAACAGAGAAAUCAUCCAGAAAUCAUUGACUUAUUAAACCUUGAAGAGGUACCUUUUUAGAAUGAAAAAUUAAAUAAAAUAUCAACUAAUUCAAAUAAAAAAAUUGCUGUAGUUGGACAUAAUGUUUAUUGUAAUUUGUAUAUUAUUAAAGUCUAUUAGCAUAAAUUAUAAUACCUACACAUAUAACUACUGCAUACAUAUAUUGUAAUAACGCCUCUUAAGCAUCAAUGUGGUUAGAAUAAGAAUGUUGUUAUAUGUGAAUUUAACACAUCAUUUUGAGCAAAUAGAAAAAAUAUUUAAACAAAAAAAUCUACUCUAUCCCAUAGAGAAUUUCCUCCAAAAGCAUUUCAUUCGUCUUAGUAUUUAUUAUAUUUUUAAUUUGAAUGUGUUUUUUAAAGGAUAAUACAAUUUAUCUUACUAGUCACCGUGAAUGGAGAAAAACUAAAUAAAACAUUCUCGAAUUCAAUACGAUAUUUUUUUUAAUUUAAAACAUUCAAAUUCAAAACAAAAAAAAUAUCUGGUAUGAAAAUAUUUAAAGAAAGGGAAACUAAAUCAAAAGAAAAUAAUGUUGGAAAAUAAAAGAAAGUUUAAAAUUAAUUUCAAACUGAUUUAAUGUGAAAGAAUGCUUGCGCUUAUGAUUUUUUUUUAUAAAUAAAAAAUAAACAUAAAGUGACAUUAGAAUAAAGAAAAAUAUUAAAACGACAUAAUAUAGUGAGAAUUAUUAAAAAAAAAAAAAAAGAAUAGUCAGCUCAAAGUGUUUUUGAAGAAAUUGAGCCUCACUUAUGUAAGCAAAACGUAAAAAAAAAAUAAAAACAAUAAAAGUUGGAAAAUUUCCUCAAAUUCUUACAUUUUUAGAAUUCAAAAUAUGUAACUAAUUCUACUCUGAUGAGAAAAAUUGCUCUUAAAGUCAGCUUAUAAAAGAAAAUUCAUUGCAAAGUGUGUAAAUUUAUAUUAAGUAGAUGCACCCGUUUAUUGCAUACUUGAACAUUUAAUGAGUAAAAAGAAAGAAAGAAAGAUAUCUUAAUCAUAAAAGAAAGUAACUUUAAUAAUUUUUUGCAUUUUUGUAAGUGUGUAAUAGCAAUUUUUGAUACCGCUACUUGAUGAAAAAAUAAUAAAAAAAACACAAUACGAACAGAAGAAACGAUGAAACAAUAAGUAAAUAGUAAGGAAAAUUGCAUUAAAAAAUCCUUUCCAUGAAACGUAAUAAAGAAAAAAAAGAAUCCUUUGUCAGAGAACAAUAAAUUGCGAUACAUAUAGUUGUAAUAAUGGAGAUUAUAAUUUUCACUUGUGAACAUUUUUCUAAUGUAAAAUUGCAUUAUAUAUUUUUAAUUUUAUUUAAAUUUUGCUAAACUUGUGUAAGAUUUUGUAAAAAAAAAUUAAGUGAAAAAGGAGAAAAAAUAAUGAAAAAAAAAUGUAGAAAUCAUUUUGAUCAAGAAAGUAUCCUGUAUCAUUGCAUUAACUGAGUUUCAAUAUUGUAGAAUUUAUUUAUCGAUAAAGAACAAGUAAAAAUCAUAUUACAAAAAAAA
Lutzomyia longipalpis is the source of this 10677-nucleotide RNA transcript. It is a transcript of the gene named focal adhesion kinase 1, with no coding region annotated. The transcript is spliced from 17 exons. NCBI's taxonomy places the organism in Eukaryota, Metazoa, Arthropoda, Insecta, Diptera, Psychodidae. The record is from RefSeq and is a predicted model, not a curated record.